GUGCAAUUAGAAUCUGAUACCGUUUCAAGGUCUUGACUCUCUCAAGAACCCUCCAAUUUUCCAUCCCUUGGGACAGCCAAGAUGACCUGCGGCCAGUGUCCACAUGAGGAUACUAACCCCAGCAGAUUACAGAGCAGCUCAGAGGAAUUCCCAGGGCCCAGCCCCUGUAGCACUACAUACAGGUUCAAAUCCAAGGCCCAGAGGUCCACUCUUGCUCCUCUGCAGCGAGAGUCAGAAAUGAAGCUGGGCUUCUGCAGAGCCACGGUCUCCACAGUGAGUCAGAGUGCUGCCGCCAGCCUCCCUGGAAACUGCACAGGGAAGCCCCAGUAGACACAGGGAAUUGCAGGCUGGACUCUGCUACUGGCCACAGUGCUACAGGAUGAGUGGGAGGGGAUCUUCCAUGUGGCAUUGCCCCUGUCCUGGGCGCCAGCACCUGGAGGGCAUGCCCCUCCAAGGAGAAGAAGUCCAGGCCAUGGCAGCAGACAGAGCACGGGGCAGGGGAGACCAGGCAUGUGGAGAGGCCAUGGCUUGCUCCACAGGCAGGGACCCCAAAAGCGCCUUCAACAUUUUGCUUCUCAUUUAGUUUCUGAACCCAUUUCCCCUGUUAUGUGGCUGCUUAAACUUUCUUAAAUCUCUCACUAUUGCACACACUCAGUGUUGGUGCAUGUUAGUAGCUAAUGCUUACGAAUCUGUGUAGAAUGAGCAAGAGGGGAUUUGUAGGUCUCCAGGUCAAGUGGACAGAGAUGGACGAAGGUCUCACAGAACUCGUGCUGAGGAGUCGACGAAGGCCUGAGAAGCCACUUGGCAGCUCUCUAACCACAAGAGAGGUGCUUGACGUGCCGUCAUCUCCAUCACUGCUGAAGGGCAAGCCACCCAUCCCCAAGCCCCUGCACGCCCAUGUGCAAGAGCACGCCCAGUGCCCAGGGCCUGCUAGACACAGAGAGUUCCCGUGGGUGCAGCAAGAAAACUCCCAGGGACAAGAAGGUGGCAGGGACAUCUGGGCCAGUGUGAGCUUACUGCUGGGCCAUAGAGGAAGGCCGG
This 1041-nucleotide long non-coding RNA is filed under the name Marmota monax (woodchuck). The record is from RNAcentral. Lineage: Eukaryota; Metazoa; Chordata; Mammalia; Rodentia; Sciuridae.